UACGAAGGGGGCUAGCGUUGUUCGGAAUCACUGGGCGUAAAGCGCACGUAGGCGGAUCUUUAAGUCAGGGGUGAAAUCCCGAGGCUCAACCUCGGGAACUGCCUUUGAUACUGGGGAUCUCGAGCCCGGGAGAGGUGAGUGGAACUGCGAGUGUAGAGGUGAAAUUCGUAGAUAUUCGCAAGAACACCAGUGGCGAAGGCGGCUCACUGGCCCGGAACUGACGCUGAGGUGCGAAAGCGUGGGGAGCAAACAGGG
RNAcentral lists this ribosomal RNA (255 nucleotides) under uncultured bacterium. RNAcentral's name for it is "partial 16S ribosomal RNA". It matches the Rfam family "Bacterial small subunit ribosomal RNA", at positions 524 to 777 of the family's 1533-position model. The record is from RNAcentral.